AACAGGCCGAGUUGUAAUUUGUAGAUGGCUACACUGCAUAAUAGUAGAUGCUCAAGUUCUUUGGAAAAAGACAUCAUGGAGGGUGACAAUCCCGUGAGGCAUGUUACUAGGAGCAUAUAGUGGGCUUUCUAAGAGUCGAGUUGUUUGGGAAUGCAGCUCAAAGUGCGUGGUGAAUACCAUGUAAAGCUAAAUAUGGACGAGAGACCGAUAGCGAACAAGUACUGUGAAGGAAAGAUGAAAAGCACUCCGAAAGGAGAGUGAAAUAGUACGUGAAAUUGUUAAAGUGGAAGGGCUUGAGAUCAGAAUUGGUAGUUUGGGUUCCACGUCCUCUUGGGGGCGUGUACUCCCUUUCCACCGGGCCAGCGGGAGUUUCGUCUCUUGGGUAAAAGCAGUGGAAUGUAGCAGCUUGUCUGUAUUAUAGCCUCUGUUCAUACAAGACGUCGAGACUUGAUUUGUUGG
This 459-nucleotide ribosomal RNA is filed under the name Wickerhamiella pararugosa. Its description in RNAcentral is "partial large subunit ribosomal RNA". It matches the Rfam family "Eukaryotic large subunit ribosomal RNA", at positions 132 to 589 of the family's 3401-position model. Lineage: Eukaryota; Fungi; Ascomycota; Dipodascomycetes; Dipodascales; Trichomonascaceae. The record is from RNAcentral.